RNAcentral lists this long non-coding RNA (3120 nucleotides) under Daucus carota (carrot). RNAcentral describes it as "long non-coding RNA (DCAR_LNC002003)". The record is from RNAcentral. Lineage: Eukaryota; Viridiplantae; Streptophyta; Magnoliopsida; Apiales; Apiaceae.
AAACAACAGGAUCGCUUCCAGGUUACAGUAUUGAAAUUAGAAUCAACCACUAUUAUUACACAACAUCUCUUACCAAAUCAGAUCAUCUUCGAUAAGAAGAAUCACUGUCAACUAUUCCAGCUAUGACUUACACUUGAAUCCUUAUAGCACAGCUCUAGCUUGCAUCAACCUCAUCAACUUUCCUGAACACUCCUCGACCACUGGAUCCUCAACUCUGUCUCCUCGCCUAGCAUUAGCCUUAUUCACAAUCUCAAUCAAUCAUCUCAUCUUUAAGCCUUUCUGAAAUGGUUAGAAAGGAAUAGCAAGGGUGAGCAACAAUGCUCAGCAAGUAAUAAUAAACAAUGAUAGUUCUGAAAUGAUAUAACAGAAGUUCACGAGUUCAAGAUAUAAGAGGAUUCAACCUGAGUUCAUGAGUUCAUGGUAUUGUAUAGAAUGAUUUACAAUACCUUGCAGCAUUUAAACUGAGAAAUUCAAUCUUUCCAAAGAAUUAUUGAAUUGGACUAUCACAUUUUAAUUAAAACCAAGGUUAGGCAGCUGAUCAGUUCCGCACUAACCCCGAGCAGGCCCCGCCAUGCUCUAUCACUGGAUCCAAGGCACUCAUUGGCCUAACAUGACCACGAAUCUGGUCCACAGGUUUAUAUAAAAACAAUAAUCCAAUUCUCUAAUUCAAUUCAAGAAGCCAAUGUAAAUUAACAGAACAUCAUCAUAAAUAUCAUCAACAACAGAAUAAUUCCAAUUCAAACUUUGAUAAUAAUCUAUUCAUAAAUCAUGAUCCAUCAUUUCAUAAAUCACAGUUCAGGAAAUCCUCAACUAUUCAGUAUCCUCCAUUAUCGGCUAAGCAACUGAAUUUAGCCUGCUAAACCAGCAUGACAAUGGCGGGUUGAAUAAUCAAGAAGAUCCCAAUUCAUUCAAAGCUCUAACUAUCACUGAGCAACACAUGCUUCAAUGACAAUCUGAACUUCGAAUUAAUUUGUAAAACGGAAAUUCUUUAGAAACUUGAAGAUUAGAAAGAAUGGGUCAGAAUACUCGCACUUUCGAACAUUGAAAAGAAAGGUAUGAAUACUUGAAACAUAUACCAAAGGAAUGGAUCAGAAUAUUUGCAAUAUAUCCAAGAGAAAGGUUUAGGAUACUUGCCUUAAAUCUGACUCCAGUCUCACAUCUCAAUCUCAUCUUUCCACUUUCACAAUCUAUGCAUCUCAUAGUCUCUAGACCAUCUCUGGCUAUACUCUAUCUACCGUACAUCUUCGCUUCGCUUACUCGAUUCAUCCCUUAUUCGCUUUGUAACACCACGUGACUUUCUGAACGUCUUCGGGCAUACACGUCUCGUCCAAAUCCUUUACGAGAAUAAGAUAACACUAUAAUCACUAAACAAUCGAUCGCAUAUACAUCUCACGUAUAUCAAUACCCACUUAUAUAUCCCUUUAAACUUAUCAGAUACCACGUAACACAUAAGCAUGCUUUAACUCUAACAUAUAGUCAAUCAUAUUCCACAUAACAUAUCACCAAUCAAUUAUCAUAUAAAUCCUUAUCGAAAAUCCGACAUCGUCUCGUCUAUGUAUAAGACUAUCCACCUAUUAUCCUAUCUCAAUCAUUAAUCAACCAACAAAAUCCAAUAGCUAUAAUCCAUAUAUUCUUAUCCAAUAUCAAUCAUACGAAUCAUUUAUCACUUCACAAUAUCAAAACUAACACGUACUUCACAUAAUCAUCACCUGAUAGCACUUAGAUCACAUAUUAUCACAUUAUGCAUACUUAUCAACAAUUAUUCACCUUAUAGACUCAGCCAUAUAGUCACAUCAUAUUAAAAUAGACGUUAUAAGCUUCUGUCUCUCUUUCGUUUCACUUGAUUCCGACUUACGGAUCAAAAGUUAUGCUCAAAACAGUUUUCUCACUCUCCUAUCGGCACAUAACACAUCCAACCAAUAGCAGACAACACACAACACAUAAGGUUUCCCAUCCCAAUUGAUAUUAAAUCAAGUCUUGGGUUAAAAAUGAUUUUUCGGGAAUUUUCCAGAAUUUUUAAACAUUUUUCGGAAUUAAAAUCGAUAAAAGAAUCACUUUUCGAAUAAAUAAUCAAGUCCCAAAUACUUGAAAUUGGACUUGAAAUCAUUCAUAAACAAUUAUCGAGCCUUGAAAAUAAUUUGGAAAAAUAUUUUAAAGCUCGAAACUAUUUUUCGGAAUUUUUAAAUCAAAAAGGAUUAAUUAAAUCCAAUUAAUUAAUCAAUUAAAAUCAAUUAAUAAUUAAUUAAAAUAAUUAAUCAAUUAAUAUUUAAAUUAAUUGACCAAUUAAAAUAAUUAAUUACUAAUUAAAAUUAAUUAAUAAACUAAUUUAGAUUUAUUUUUGAAUAAAGAAAUAAUUAAAAACUAUUUUUGGAAUUUAAAAUAAUUAAAUAAAACAAUUUUAGAAAAUUAAAUCAAAAGGUUUAUUUUGUAAACUUUUGAAAGUUUUGUCCAGGGUUUAAAGUGCAACUUUUCAAAGUUACAGGGGGUAAUUCAUAAGUUUCAGAACCUGAGUACAAAAACUUCAUCAUCUUCAAAACUUCGGUGACCAAACAGCAAUAAGCCGCCGGCCACCACACUAACUCGCCGGAAAUUCAUUUCCAGGCGUCCUCCACUCACCAUCUACUCCAGAUCAGUAGUACACACACCCAUAAAUCAAUCCCCCAUCUUUAAUUAGGCAGAAGUCGCGCGAAUUCGCCGGAAAAUCCGGCCGAAGUCGGCGACUUCCCGCCGCCGAUGGCGGCGAUUCGAGCCACCUCCGCUCAAACCAAGCACACCAGCAUACUCCCCUUUCUCUCCUCUUUCUAUUCAUAUAUACCACUACUGCCCAGAUUUAGCGGAACCCAUUUUCCGGCCAAAAUUCAAACUUUUCCGGCAACAAGCUCAAGAACACCAAGAACACAAUUUCAAUAAUCAAACUGACUUUUCUACAUGUUAUUGAACUCCGUUUUUGACAUAUAAUAUACCAAAACGACGAGAAAAACAUGCUCUACAUCAUAGAAUCAUCAAAUCACAUAAACGGAAUCGUUUGCAAAAAUUCAUCAUUUAAAUCAUAUAAACUCGAAUUUUAGAAAAAUAAUCUAAAAUCACCUGUUGAAUCUGCAUAUAAACGGAUGAUUAAAC